This 394-nucleotide ribosomal RNA is filed under the name uncultured bacterium. RNAcentral describes it as "partial 16S ribosomal RNA". It matches the Rfam family "Bacterial small subunit ribosomal RNA", at positions 523 to 918 of the family's 1533-position model. The record is from RNAcentral.
AUACGUAGGGGGCAAGCGUUAUCCGGAAUUAUUGGGCGUAAAGCGUGCGUAGGUGGUUACCUAAGCGCAAGGUUUAAUCUUGAGGCUCAACCUCAUUCUGCCUUGCGAACUGGGCUACUUGAGUGCUGGAGGGGAAAGCGGAAUUCCUAGUGUAGCGGUGAACUGCGUAGAUAUUAGGAAGAACACCGGUGGCGAAGGCGGCUUUCUGGACAGUAACUGACACUGAGGCACGAAAGCGUGGGGAGCAAACAGGAUUAGAUACCCUGGUAGUCCACGCCGUAAACGAUGAGCACUAGUUGUUGGGUCCGAAUGGAUUCAGUGACGCAGUUAACGCAAUAAGUGCUCCGCCUGGGGAGUACGGUGGCAACACUAAAACUCAAAUGAAUUGACGGGG